Long non-coding RNA from Leopardus geoffroyi (Geoffroy's cat), 202 nucleotides. RefSeq lists it as uncharacterized. NCBI's taxonomy places the organism in Eukaryota, Metazoa, Chordata, Mammalia, Carnivora, Felidae. The transcript has 3 exons. The record is from RefSeq and is a predicted model, not a curated record.
UUCUGAAUGUAGAAUUUGAAAGCAAUGUAAAUCACUAAUUAUAUUAUCAUAAAAGGAGAUGGAGAAACCUAAAUAGGACGGUAGGAAACAAGCAAGGUCACUUGUAAAAAAAUUCAAAGAAUAAAACUGCGAAGAAUCUGUUUUCUAAAAAACAUUGCAUUGUUGGGGCGCCUGGGUGGCUCAGUUGGUUAAGCAUCCGACU